AUUGAACGCUGGCGGCAUGCCUUACACAUGCAAGUCGAACGGUAACAGGUCUUCGGACGCUGACGAGUGGCGAACGGGUGAGUAAUACAUCGGAACGUGCCCAGUCGUGGGGGAUAACUACUCGAAAGAGUAGCUAAUACCGCAUACGAUCUGAGGAUGAAAGCGGGGGACCUUCGGGCCUCGCGCGAUUGGAGCGGCCGAUGGCAGAUUAGGUAGUUGGUGGGAUAAAAGCUUACCAAGCCGACGAUCUGUAGCUGGUCUGAGAGGACGACCAGCCACACUGGGACUGAGACACGGCCCAGACUCCUACGGGAGGCAGCAGUGGGGAAUUUUGGACAAUGGGCGAAAGCCUGAUCCAGCAAUGCCGCGUGCAGGAUGAAGGCCUUCGGGUUGUAAACUGCUUUUGUACGGAACGAAAAAGCUCCUUCUAGUACAGGGGGCCCAUGACGGUACCGUAAGAAUAAGCACCGGCUAACUACGUGCCAGCAGCCGCAGUAA
RNAcentral lists this ribosomal RNA (498 nucleotides) under uncultured bacterium. Its description in RNAcentral is "partial 16S ribosomal RNA". It matches the Rfam family "Bacterial small subunit ribosomal RNA", at positions 30 to 523 of the family's 1533-position model. The record is from RNAcentral.